RNAcentral lists this ribosomal RNA (253 nucleotides) under uncultured bacterium. Its description in RNAcentral is "partial 16S ribosomal RNA". It matches the Rfam family "Bacterial small subunit ribosomal RNA", at positions 524 to 776 of the family's 1533-position model. The record is from RNAcentral.
GACGGAGGGCGCUAGCGUUGUUCGGAAUCACUGGGCGUAAAGCGACCGCAGGCGGCCUGACAAGUCGGAUGUGAAAGCCCUGGGCUCAACUCAGGAACUGCAUUCGAAACUGGUAGGCUCGAGUACGGGAGAGGGGGGUGGAAUUCCUGGUGUAGGGGUGAAAUUCGUUGAUAUCUGCAGGAACACCAAUGGCGAAAGCAGUCUUCUGGACGAAUACUGACGCUCAGGUUCGAAAGCCAAGGUAGCAAACAGG